RNAcentral lists this long non-coding RNA (871 nucleotides) under Lactuca sativa (garden lettuce). RNAcentral describes it as "long non-coding RNA (LSAT_LNC006868)". The record is from RNAcentral. Lineage: Eukaryota; Viridiplantae; Streptophyta; Magnoliopsida; Asterales; Asteraceae.
ACCCUCCCUUCCUUAUUUUCUGUUCUGAUUCGAUUCUCACCACACCUUCUUCGAUUCAGAUCGCAUGAGGUUGGGAUGGUGAGUCUGGUGGUGCUAAUCGGAUUUUUGUGGUAAAUCAAGAAGAGGUUAAGGCGUGUAUUUCAUUUUUUUUUCUUUUUUUAUUAAACUCGAUCACAACCCCUUCUUCUUUCUCUCUUCUGAAUCAAUCUUAUUUUACUUUUUUUUUUUUAUCUUUUUUGAUGGCAGAUGUGUGUUGGCUUGCGGGUAUGGUGGGUUAUGGUGGUCUGGUGGUGUGUGAUGUGGGUAACGUUAGAGGUGAUGAUCACAUUGAUGAACAGGGGAGAAGAAGGUGAGGAUAGCUGAUUAGAAGGGGUGACAACGGGAUGGCUGUAAUGGAGUUCAAGGUUGGUGGUGUAUGGUGGUGAUAGUACCGAUUACGAUCCAAAAAGAGAUCACAUCAAAUCCGGAACUUGAAUAAUUAAUCGUUAAUCAAGAUGAAGAAUGAAUGAGACAUACAAACAGGAUAGAAAAAAGGGAAAAUUGCGUAAUCUGAACCUUGACUUCUAGUGUUCUUAAAAAAUGGAGAACAACUUUGACCCCAACUUCAUGGGCUUCUACCUUGAUUUCUGAUUUGCAGGUAACAAGGGAUGGCAAUGGUAGUAACCGUCAAGGGAGUGAGGAAGAUGAUAAAGCUUUGGGUGGAUAAGGAAGUCGACGCUUUUCUUUCUGUGGGUUACACAUGUGUAGAGAGAGAGAGAGAGGGGCAUCUUUCUCAAUCUUAACUAAUAAAAAACAUUUGAAUAAAUAUAAAAAAACAAAUAUAAGGGUAUAAUAGUCUUUUUAUGUUGAUAGGGACCAAAAACAAUAGAAA